GACGAACGCUGGCGGCGUGCUUAACACAUGCAAGUCGAACGGAAAGGCCUCUUUCGGGGGUUACUCGAGUGGCGAACGGGUGAGUAACACGUGGGUGACCGGCCCUUGCCUUUGGGAUAACUUCUGGAAACGGGGGCUGAUACCGGAUAGGAGCUCCUGUAGCGUGGAGGGGGCUGGAAAGUUUCGGCGGUGGGGGAUGGACUCGCGGCUUAUAAGCUUGUUGGGGGGGUAGUGGCUUAGCAAGGCUUUGACGAGUAGCCGGACUGGGCGGGUGACCGGCAACAUUGGGACUGGGAUACGGCCACGACUCCGACGGGUGGGAGAAGCGGGGAAGAGUGAAAUAGGGGUGGGAGCCUGAUGCUGAAACGGCGUGGGCGGGAGGAUGGCCUUGGGGUUGGAAAUCGAUUUCGCUCAUGACGAAGCUGUGUGUGACGGUAGUGGGUAAAGAAGCACCGGCUAACUACGUG
Molecule: ribosomal RNA, 467 nt
Filed under: uncultured bacterium
Lineage: Bacteria
Description: partial 16S ribosomal RNA
Rfam family: Bacterial small subunit ribosomal RNA
Source: RNAcentral